UCUCCUGAGAGGUUCUACCACUGCUUGACAAAUACAGAGGUUCAAUUCCACCAAACGUUGGUGAAUGAUGGCCCAAUCAGCCUGUACUUCCUUGCUCUCCUGCUGCAAUGUCAUCGACUUCUUCUUUAUAAGAUUCUCCUCCAUCAGGAGCCGGCUGUGCAGGUUACUGUAAGGACACUCUGCAUGAUGUGGCUCAAAGGGAAGAUGUGAGGACACCUUGGGUUCCUCUGAAUGGACAGAGUGAUAUGAAAUGGGCACUGACCAGGCUGAGAAACACUGCUGAGGCCCAUAUUCCAG
Molecule: long non-coding RNA, 297 nt
Filed under: Mus musculus (house mouse)
Lineage: Eukaryota; Metazoa; Chordata; Mammalia; Rodentia; Muridae
Description: predicted gene 43391
Source: RNAcentral